Dermacentor silvarum is the source of this 333-nucleotide long non-coding RNA. RefSeq lists it as uncharacterized. The record is from RefSeq and is a predicted model, not a curated record. The transcript has 3 exons. NCBI's taxonomy places the organism in Eukaryota, Metazoa, Arthropoda, Arachnida, Ixodida, Ixodidae.
UGGGUCCGGCCCGUCUUUCAACGGCGUAAAGAAGAAGGACUUUACUAUACGGCUAUGCAACGAAUGCGUCAGGGUGACCAUGGAUUUUUCUAUAAGUUCUUCCACAUGACGCCGCAGCUUUUUGACAAGCUAUUGAGCUUUGUCGCAGAGGACCUCACACGGCAGCACCACAUUCGAGAACCCCUGGAGCCUGGAGAACGACUUGCUAUAGCAUUGAGCUACUUGGCAUCCGGGCAAGACAUAAAAGACGUUGCCUUGGCUUACCGUGUGGGGAUUGAGACGGCUAGAGUGUGCAUUCAUGUGGCCUGUCGAGCAAUCUGGGCAAGGCAAGGC